UGAACGCUGGCGGCGUGCCUAAUACAUGCAAGUCGAGCGAACAGACGAGGAGCUUGCUCCUCUGACGUUAGCGGCGGACGGGUGAGUAACACGUGGAUAACCUACCUAUAAGACUGGGAUAACUUCGGGAAACCGGAGCUAAUACCGGAUAAUAUUUUGAACCGCAUGGUUCAAAAGUGAAAGACGGUCUUGCUGUCACUUAUAGAUGGAUCCGCGCUGCAUUAGCUAGUUGGUAAGGUAACGGCUUACCAAGGCAACGAUGCAUAGCCGACCUGAGAGGGUGAUCGGCCACACUGGAACUGAGACACGGUCCAGACUCCUACGGGAGGCAGCAGUAGGGAAUCUUCCGCAAUGGGCGAAAGCCUGACGGAGCAACGCCGCGUGAGUGAUGAAGGUCUUCGGAUCGUAAAACUCUGUUAUUAGGGAAGAACAUAUGUGUAAGUAACUGUGCACAUCUUGACGGUACCUAAUCAGAAAGCCACGGCUAACUACGUG
This 495-nucleotide ribosomal RNA is filed under the name uncultured bacterium. Its description in RNAcentral is "partial 16S ribosomal RNA". It matches the Rfam family "Bacterial small subunit ribosomal RNA", at positions 30 to 507 of the family's 1533-position model. The record is from RNAcentral.